RNAcentral lists this long non-coding RNA (74 nucleotides) under Callithrix jacchus (white-tufted-ear marmoset). RNAcentral describes it as "lncRNA (ENSCJAG00000084301.1)". The record is from RNAcentral. Lineage: Eukaryota; Metazoa; Chordata; Mammalia; Primates; Cebidae.
CUGCCAUUCUGGAUGGCUGCAAGCUUGGUUGGCCUGCUGCUGCUGUUUCCUAGAGUUCUGAAGAGCACAACCUU